AUCACUUGCCCCCCACCAUGCAUCCUAUUUGGGAUGAUUGGCAUCGGGGCGGAUAUUGGACUCCCGUGCCUUUGGUGUGGUUGUCCUAAACCUGAGUCACCUUGGGUUGACGCACGACUAGUGGUGGUUGAAUAGACCCUCGUCCUAAGGUGUGCGUCGUAAGCCGUAAGGGAGGCCUUUGAAGACCCCAACGUGAGUCUUGCGACGAUGCUUCGACC
This 218-nucleotide unclassified non-coding RNA is filed under the name Microseris laciniata. The record is from RNAcentral. Lineage: Eukaryota; Viridiplantae; Streptophyta; Magnoliopsida; Asterales; Asteraceae.